RNAcentral lists this ribosomal RNA (452 nucleotides) under uncultured bacterium. RNAcentral describes it as "bacterial SSU rRNA". It matches the Rfam family "Bacterial small subunit ribosomal RNA", at positions 29 to 521 of the family's 1533-position model. The record is from RNAcentral.
CGCGAACGCUGGCGGCAGGCUUAACACAUGCAAGUCGAGCGGGCGUAGCAAUACGUCAGCGGCAGACGGGUGAGUAACGCGUGGGAACGUACCUUUUGGUUCGGAACAACACAGGGAAACUUGUGCUAAUACCGGAUAAGCCCUUACGGGGAAAGAUUUAUCGCCGAAAGAUCGGCCCGCGUCUGAUUAGCUAGUUGGUGAGGUAACGGCUCACCAAGGCGACGAUCAGUAGCUGGCUGAGAGGAUGAUCAGCCACAUUGGGACUGAGACACGGCCCAAACUCCUACGGGAGGCAGCAGUGGGGAAUAUUGGACAAUGGGCGCAAGCCUGAUCCAGCCAUGCCGCGUGAGUGAUGAAGGCCCUAGGGUUGUAAAGCACUUUCGACGGGGACGGAUGAUGACGGGUACCCGUACGAAGAAGCCCCGGCCUAACUUCGUGCCAGCAGCCGCUGU